RNAcentral lists this ribosomal RNA (759 nucleotides) under uncultured Enterobacteriaceae bacterium. RNAcentral's name for it is "bacterial SSU rRNA". It matches the Rfam family "Bacterial small subunit ribosomal RNA", at positions 28 to 776 of the family's 1533-position model. The record is from RNAcentral. Lineage: Bacteria; Pseudomonadati; Pseudomonadota; Gammaproteobacteria; Enterobacterales; Enterobacteriaceae.
AUUGAACGCUGGCGGCAGGCCUAACACAUGCAAGUCGAGCGGCAGCGGAAAGUAGCUUGCUACUUUGCCGGCGAGCGGCGGACGGGUGAGUAAUGUCUGGGAAACUGCCUGAUGGAGGGGGAUAACUACUGGAAACGGUAGCUAAUACCGCAUGACCUCGAAAGAGCAAAGUGGGGGAUCUUCGGACCUCACGCCAUCGGAUGUGCCCAGAUGGGAUUAGCUAGUAGGUGAGGUAAUGGCUCACCUAGGCGACGAUCCCUAGCUGGUCUGAGAGGAUGACCAGCCACACUGGAACUGAGACACGGUCCAGACUCCUACGGGAGGCAGCAGUGGGGAAUAUUGCACAAUGGGCGCAAGCCUGAUGCAGCCAUGCCGCGUGUGUGAAGAAGGCCUUAGGGUUGUAAAGCACUUUCAGCGAGGAGGAAGGCAUCAUACUUAAUACGUGUGGUGAUUGACGUUACUCGCAGAAGAAGCACCGGCUAACUCCGUACCAGCAGCCGCGGUAAUACGGAGGGUGCAAGUGUUAAUCGGAAUUACUGGGCGUAAAGCGCACGCAGGCGGUUUGUUAAGUCAGAUGUGAAAUCCCCGCGCUUAACGUGGGAACUGCAUUUGAAACUGGCAAGCUAGAGUCUUGUAGAGGGGGGUAGAAUUCCAGGUGUAGCGGUGAAAUGCGUAGAGAUCUGGAGGAAUACCGGUGGCGAAGGCGGCCCCCUGGACAAAGACUGACGCUCAGGUGCGAAAGCGUGGGGAGCAAACAGG